This 505-nucleotide ribosomal RNA is filed under the name uncultured bacterium. RNAcentral describes it as "partial 16S ribosomal RNA". It matches the Rfam family "Bacterial small subunit ribosomal RNA", at positions 28 to 507 of the family's 1533-position model. The record is from RNAcentral.
GACGAACGCUGGCGGCGUGCCUAAUACAUGCCAGUAGAACGCACAGUUUAUACCGUAGCUUGCUACACCAUAGACUGUGAGUUGCGAACGGGUGAGUAACGCGUAGGUAACCUGCCUGGUAGCGGGGGAUAACUAUUGGAAACGAUAGCUAAUACCGCAUAAUAUUGAUUAUUGCAUGAUAAUUGAUUGAAAGAUGCUAUUGCAUCACUACCAGAUGGACCUGCGUUGUAUUAGCUAGUAGGUGAGGUAACGGCUCACCUAGGCGACGAUACAUAGCCGACCUGAGAGGGUGAUCGGCCACACUGGGACUGAGACACGGCCCAGACUCCUACGGGAGGCAGCAGUAGGGAAUCUUCGGCAAUGGACGAAAGUUUGACCGAGCAACGCCGCGUGAGUGAAGAAGGUUUUCGGAUCGUAAAGCUCUGUUGUAAGAGAAGAACGGGUGUGAGAGUGGAAAGUUCACACUGUGACGGUAUCUUACCAGAAAGGGACGGCUAACUACGUG